This 425-nucleotide ribosomal RNA is filed under the name uncultured soil bacterium. RNAcentral describes it as "bacterial SSU rRNA". It matches the Rfam family "Bacterial small subunit ribosomal RNA", at positions 66 to 481 of the family's 1533-position model. The record is from RNAcentral.
GCGACGAAGGCCUUCGGGCUGGCAGAGCCGCGAACGGGUGAGUAACACGUGGGUAACCUGCCCCGAUGAUUGGGACAACCCGACGAAAGUCGGGCUAAUACCAAAUGUGCUUUUCAGUCUCAAGACUGAUUUGGAAAGGAAGCUUCGGCCUCCGCAUCGGGAUGGGCCCGCGGCGCAUUAGCUUGUUGGUGGGGUAACGGCCUACCAAGGCGACGAUGCGUAGCUGGUCUGAGAGGACGAUCAGCCACACUGGAACUGAGACACGGUCCAGACUCCUACGGGAGGCAGCAGUGGGGAAUCUUGCGCAAUGCGCGAAAGCGUGACGCAGCAACGCCGCGUGUGGGAAGACGGCCUUCGGGUUGUAAACCACUUUCAGUUGGGACGAAGGAUGGGUCGUUAAUAGCGGUUCCAUUUGACGGUACCUU